Molecule: ribosomal RNA, 478 nt
Filed under: uncultured bacterium
Lineage: Bacteria
Description: partial 16S ribosomal RNA
Rfam family: Bacterial small subunit ribosomal RNA
Source: RNAcentral
GAUGAACGCUGGCGGCGUGCUUAACACAUGCAAGUCGAACGAGAAGUGAAGACGGAAACCUUCGGGCGGAAGGCUUUAUUUCGAGUGGCGGACGGGUGAGUAACGCGUGGGUAACCUGCCUCAUACAGGGGGAUAACAGUUGGAAACGACUGUUAAUACCGCAUAAGACCACAGCACCGCAUGGUGCGGGGGUAAAAACUCCGGUGGUAUGAGAUGGACCCGCGUUCGAUUAGCCAGUUGGCGGGGUAACGGCCCACCGAAGCGACGAUCGAUAGCCGAUCUGAGAGGAUGACCGGCCACAUUGGGACUGAGACACGGCCCAAACUCCUACGGGAAGCAGCAGUGGGGAAUAUUGCACAAUGGGGGAAACCCUGAUGCAGCGACGCCGCGUGAGUGAAGAAGUAUUUCGGUAUGUAAAGCUCUAUCAGCAGGGAAGAAAAUGACGGUACCUGAGUAAGAAGCCCCGGCUAACUACGUG